GUGGGGCGACGGGCCUGCCAGCAGCCCUGGCAGGACGAGGGGCGAGUCCCGACUGCUCCCCGCCUGGCCCGGGGCCAGGGACGCGGGGCCGGGACUGGCCGAGGGGAAACGGAAACGGAACGGAGCGCGGGAACAGGGCGGCGGGGAGCGCUAACCCAGAUCCCACUGAUCUGCCUACCUCUACUCUGUCUUCACCACCACCCUGGGGACCAAUCAGCUUGGCUGAGCACCUAUAGGAAGAAGUCACCUCCUAAGAGGGACAGAGGAACAGAUCUCUGACCCUGACCCUGCUGCACCAUCCGUGGCUCCUGAAGAGCUGGAGCUAGACAACCAAUCCUAGCAGGAUCUAAGGUCAAAAACUCCAAAUGAGGAGAUCACCCACUCUGCUUUCAGAUCAAGGACUAGAGUUGUGACAAAAUUUCCUGAAGCUCCAGAACUCUGCUUGCUGCAUAUGUGAUAAUGGCCCCAUAAGAUUACAGUGGAGUUGAAAAUUUCCUGUCACCUGCACCAAGAUUCAAGUUACCACAAAACUGGUUUCCUGGAAUUCCUUACCAAGCCCCCACCCUCCGUCUCCUUCCUUCAUCUGUUUGUCCUCUCCCAACCCUGUCACCUUUCUAGGUUCAAGGGAUACUCAGGUCAGGGGUGAGGAAUUAAGAGGAGCAGAAUUCAGAGGUGGGGGCUGGGCAGAUUGUGUGCUCAUGGGCAGCAGGGAGAGGAGAUGGGGCUUGGGGUAGAGAGCAGGAGGGGUUUGGGUACAAGAGGCUGACCCAGCCCAACCACUGUCAUAAAGAAGAAACCAGCGCCCAGAGGUGGAGAGGAGGAGCGGGGCAGGCUCACCGGCUUGAUGUCACGGUGCAGAAAGCCCACGGAGUGAAUGGCUUCAAUGGACUCCAGGAU
Molecule: long non-coding RNA, 897 nt
Organism: Marmota monax (woodchuck)
Lineage: Eukaryota; Metazoa; Chordata; Mammalia; Rodentia; Sciuridae
Exons: 6
Source: RefSeq, a predicted model, not a curated record